This 252-nucleotide ribosomal RNA is filed under the name uncultured bacterium. RNAcentral describes it as "partial 16S ribosomal RNA". It matches the Rfam family "Bacterial small subunit ribosomal RNA", at positions 524 to 776 of the family's 1533-position model. The record is from RNAcentral.
UACGUAGGGCGCAAGCGUUGUCCGGAAUUAUUGGGCGUAAAGAGCUCGUAGGCGGCUUGUCACGUCGGGUGUGAAAGCCCGGGGCUUAACCCCGGGUCUGCAUUCGAGACUGCUCUGCUAGGGUGCGGAAGAGGGAAGCGGAAUUUCCGGUGUAGCGGUGAAAUGCGUAGAUAUCGGAAGGAACACCAGUGGCGAAAGCGGCUUCCUGGUCCAGCACCGACGUUCAGGCACGAAGCGUGGGGAGCAAACAGG